GAUGAACGCUGGCGGCGUGCCUAAUACAUGCAAGUCGAGCGAACGGACGAGAAGCUUGCUUCUCUGAUGUUAGCGGCGGACGGGUGAGUAACACGUGGAUAACCUACCUAUAAGACUGGGAUAACUUCGGGAAACCGGAGCUAAUACCGGAUAAUAUUUUGAACCGCAUGGUUCAAAAGUGAACGACGGUCUUGCUGUCACUUAUAGAUGGAUCCGCGCUGCAUUAGCUAGUUGGUAAGGUAACGGCAUACCAAGGCAACGAUGCAUAGCCGACCUGAGAGGGUGAUCGGCCACACUGGAACUGAGACACGGUCCAGACUCCUACGGGAGGCAGCAGUAGGGAAUCUUCCGCAAUGGGCGAAAGCCUGACGGAGCAACGCCGCGUGAGUGAUGAAGGUCUUCGGAUCGUAAAACUCUGUUAUUAGGGAAGAACAUAUGUGUAAGUAUCUGUGCACAUCUUGACGUUACCUAAUCAGAAAGCCACGGCUAACUACGUG
RNAcentral lists this ribosomal RNA (497 nucleotides) under uncultured bacterium. Its description in RNAcentral is "partial 16S ribosomal RNA". It matches the Rfam family "Bacterial small subunit ribosomal RNA", at positions 28 to 507 of the family's 1533-position model. The record is from RNAcentral.